AUUUAAUCAUAGGGACAAAAACAUUUUUUUAAAAUUAAGAUGAGCAUUGAUUCCAAGUUAGAUUUUCUUUUAGAUUAAGAUUUUAAAAAUAAGUAAAAUAUUUUAAAUGACAUUUUAAAAACCAUCCCACAUUUUAAAACAAGAAAAUAAACAUUUUUCUAAAUUGUUUUUGUUGAGCUAUCUAUUUCUGAUGAUUAACAUUCUUUAAUAACUAUAUAGUAUCCCAGUCUGAAGAAACAUAAUUCACUUAAAUAAUCCCCAGAGAGUAGAUCAUUUUAUUAUACUACCAGAAAUUAUAAGUUCAUAAUAAAUAAUAUCAAAAAUUUGUGAGUUGAGAAGAUAAAUUAUUGGAAGUAAAGGCAAAAAGAUAAGAGCAUUUUGCUAUUGCAUCUUCCUGUUUAGGAACACUCUUCCACUAAUGCUGGAUAAGGAUGCCAAUUCUCUCAUACUUGUGCCAGUAAACAUUUUUUUCUUAGUUUUGAAAUGGGGAUCUUGCUAUGUUGUCUGCAGUGGCCGAAAUUCCUGGGCUUAUGCAAUCCUGCCUCAGCCUCCUGAGUAGCUGGGAUUACAGGCAUGCACAACCAUACUCAGCUUUCCUUGGGGUUGUCUAUAUAUAAUAAAAUCAUCAUCUACAAAUAGACUGCAAUUUGACUUUUUUCCACAUUUGGAUACCUUUUGUUUUUCUUACCUAAUAGCUCUUACUGGUUGGGACCCCCAGUACUAUUACAUUGAACAGCAGUGGUUAGAGUGGGUAUCCUUGUUUCCUCUUCUCAGAAUUAAACCUUUCAACUUUUAACUUGAGUAUGGUGUUUGCUUGGGCUUGUCGCAUAUAACCUUGAUUAUGGAGUUAUCAUUCUUCUAUGCUAAUUUCUU
Molecule: long non-coding RNA, 873 nt
Filed under: Marmota monax (woodchuck)
Lineage: Eukaryota; Metazoa; Chordata; Mammalia; Rodentia; Sciuridae
Source: RNAcentral